Molecule: long non-coding RNA, 811 nt
Organism: Mauremys mutica (yellowpond turtle)
Lineage: Eukaryota; Metazoa; Chordata; Testudines; Geoemydidae
Exons: 4
Source: RefSeq, a predicted model, not a curated record
GUCUGAGAAGAAGUUCAGAACCAUGACUGAAGUUCCAUAAGAUGCGGGCUAAAGAGAUCAUUGGCUGGAUCACAAACUUUGCCAGGAUGCCUCUAUGUAAUACAAUCUCUGUAAGUUAUGUCAGGGGUAUAUAUCCCCAUGAUUUCUAUGCACCAAAUAUGGAUGACUUCUGCAUGAUGAUUUGCUCUUUGGAGUUUGUUUAACGAAAAAGGCCAAGAGUGCACACCCAGAAGAAGGCGGCGCAUGGUAGAUGGACCUUCCAGUCCCUGCACCUCCUCCAGGCUCUCCUGUAGAGAUCAGGCCCAAUAUUGUUAUUGCGCUCUCCUAACUAUACAAAGUCAUUGUGGAACUAGCCUCUUCAAAGUAAGCAGAGAGACAUGAGAAGAUGCCUGAUGCAACAGGCCUACCAUCCAGUUACACUGGCCAGCAGAGUAAGAUGGGCACAGAUGGGACUGCAGCCUAUACCCUCUUCAAGUGGGGAGCAAUGGCCACAGUCCCUGAAACUGUGGAAGGCAUAUGCACAUGCUUCAAAGCAUCCCUGAGGUCCUGUCGUGACAGCAUCCUUACUGCAUGGAUGGGAUAGAGAUCCAAAAUAGCUUGUAUGUGUUUUAGUUUCUUGCCUGACAUAACAUUUUAUUCUGAUGCCAGUACUAAGUGAUAGUAGGAAUGUAAAUGCCCAAAUUUAACGAACGUAGCAACUUCCAUGUGUUGCAAGAAUAUAGUUAACAUUUUAUUUUUUUCCCCAAUUUAUUUUCAUUAUAUUUGUUAAUUAUCUGGAACAUCUCUGAUCUAAAUCUUUGCAACUUUGUAU